This 492-nucleotide ribosomal RNA is filed under the name uncultured bacterium. Its description in RNAcentral is "partial 16S ribosomal RNA". It matches the Rfam family "Bacterial small subunit ribosomal RNA", at positions 29 to 507 of the family's 1533-position model. The record is from RNAcentral.
AGUGAACGCUGGCGGUAGGCCUAACACAUGCCAGUCGAACGGCAGCACAGUAAGAGCUUGCUCUUACGGGUGGCGAGUGGCGGACGGGUGAGGAAUACAUCGGAAUCUACUUUUUCGUGGGGGAUAACGUAGGGAAACUUACGCUAAUACCGCAUACGACCUACGGGUGAAAGCAGGGGAUCUUCGGACCUUGCGCGAUUGAAUGAGCCGAUGUCGGAUUAGCUAGUUGGCGGGGUAAAGGCCCACCAAGGCGACGAUCCGUAGCUGGUCUGAGAGGAUGAUCAGCCACACUGGAACUGAGACACGCUCCAGACUCCUACGGGAGGCAGCAGUGGGGAAUAUUGGACAAUGGGCGCAAGCCUGCUCCAGCCAUACCGCGUGGGUGAAGAAGGCCUUCGGGUUGUAAAGCCCUUUUGUUGGGAAAGAAAAGCAGCAGGUUAAUACCCCGCUGUUCUGACGGUACCCAAAGAAUAAGCACCGGCUAACUUCGUG